RNAcentral lists this ribosomal RNA (279 nucleotides) under uncultured bacterium. RNAcentral's name for it is "partial 16S ribosomal RNA". It matches the Rfam family "Bacterial small subunit ribosomal RNA", at positions 506 to 784 of the family's 1533-position model. The record is from RNAcentral.
UGCCAGCCGCCGCGGUAAUACGGAGGGGGCAAGCGUUGUUCGGAAUUACUGGGCGUAAAGGGCGCGUAGGCGGGAUAUCAAGUCAGGGGUGAAAGGCCUGGGCUCAACCUGGGAACUGCCUUUGAAACUGAUAUUCUUGAGUCCGGAAGAGGAUGGCGGAAUUCCCAGUGUAGAGGUGAAAUUCGUAGAUAUUGGGAAGAACACCGGUGGCGAAGGCGGCCAUCUGGUCCGGCACUGACGCUGAGGCGCGAAAGCGUGGGGAGCAAACAGGAUUAGAUA